This 369-nucleotide ribosomal RNA is filed under the name Triticum aestivum (bread wheat). RNAcentral describes it as "partial small subunit ribosomal RNA". The record is from RNAcentral. Lineage: Eukaryota; Viridiplantae; Streptophyta; Magnoliopsida; Poales; Poaceae.
AUGUCGUUCCUAGUUUUCACUUUGGGACACGUGUGGUGGUGGGACCCACUAGUGUUUUUGUUGUAUCGAGGGAGAGAAAAACAUUGGGAGUCCCUAAUGCCAGACUUGGGUAAAUACCACCGGUGCUUUUAUUUAGGCGAGCGAUACGCGCCGGCGGACCGGCCGAAAGCCCAGCCGGUCGCGCGCGAGCCCUCCGAUUUGGCUUCCUGCAGCCGUCGGAUGCCUUCUUUCCCAAUCGUUUUUUUUCUCUGGCUUGGUCAACGCAACAUUUCGUGUCGGAUGCCUUCUUUCCCAAAAUUUUCUUCCCUGGCUUCGUCAACGCAGCAGUUCGUGCCCUCUAGUCUUCACGUGCGCGCUCCGGCGCGAUAG